RNAcentral lists this ribosomal RNA (253 nucleotides) under uncultured bacterium. RNAcentral describes it as "partial 16S ribosomal RNA". It matches the Rfam family "Bacterial small subunit ribosomal RNA", at positions 524 to 776 of the family's 1533-position model. The record is from RNAcentral.
UACGUAGGGUGCGAGCGUUGUCCGGAAUUAUUGGGCGUAAAGAGCUUGUAGGCGGUUUGUCGCGUCUGCUGUGAAAAUCCGGGGCUCAACCCCGGACUUGCAGUGGGUACGGGCAGACUAGAGUGUGGUAGGGGAGACUGGAAUUCCUGGUGUAGCGGUGAAAUGCGCAGAUAUCAGGAGGAACACCGAUGGCGAAGGCAGGUCUCUUGGCCACUACUGACGCUGAGAAGCGAAAGCAUGGGGAGCGAACAGG